Molecule: long non-coding RNA, 413 nt
Organism: Asterias rubens (European starfish)
Lineage: Eukaryota; Metazoa; Echinodermata; Asteroidea; Forcipulatida; Asteriidae
Exons: 3
Source: RefSeq, a predicted model, not a curated record
GUCCUAGUGGUGGCAGUGCAUCUAGAUAGGCCUACUCUACCAUGCUGUUUCAACACCUGUGGAUAAGGAGUUCCAUGAACAACAAACCCUUCCCUCUGUUUUAAUUAAAAUCAACCCUGUGGGAACUACCAACAGUAAAGAUGAAUUCUUUGAAGACAGUGACUCGAUUUCCUCUGGACUUCUUAUGAUGAAAGAUGUCACUACUUAAAGCCUUUUUAGUCAGAGUUUGUUUCAGUAAUUCACCUCGAGGUACUCCAAUCUGAUUAAGCCUUCUUUGUUUUCUUUUUUAUUGAAAUUGAUGUGUAAAAAUGCAAGUAAAUUUCAGCGUUCAGUUUUAUCAGAUCAGACAGUAGUUUACUUAGAUUUUAUGAAAUUUUUGGCUCGUUAUCUGGGCCCAAUUUCAUGGCUCUGCU